Molecule: ribosomal RNA, 723 nt
Filed under: Triticum aestivum (bread wheat)
Lineage: Eukaryota; Viridiplantae; Streptophyta; Magnoliopsida; Poales; Poaceae
Description: partial small subunit ribosomal RNA
Source: RNAcentral
AUGCAGGAGGCGGGGAUGUCUGCGCUGUGGAACACCGUGCACGGGUGGUUCACCCCAUGGGUGCUGUUCCUCGUGCUACACCUCAUCGUCGCCACUAUAUUCGUCACCUCCAGGGCCACGUCCUCGGCGGGGAGCGGAGAAGGCGCUCCGGCCGGGGCUGUCGGCGAGAGGAGGAGCCUGUCCCUCGUGGAUUCAAUGGCAAUCGACCGGCCCCACUUCACCGCUCCCGCCCCUGAGGCCCCGGUGACCGGAUUACUGGAUCUGGGACAGCCCGACGAGCAACCGCCGCCGCUCCAGAUGGAGCCGGAGGAUCAGGGUGAGCACGACGCGUUUACAAAAGAGGGUGAGCUGGACGAGCACACGCACAUGGAGAGGAGCAUGUCGGAGGCGGCGGUCGAGGCCGAGCUGCCGCGGCUGCGCAAGCCCGCGAGCGACAAGCCGGCGUUCGCGCACUUCGUGGCCGAGUCGGACACCAAGGAGGUGGAGGCGCGCAGGCGGGCGACGGGGAGGGACGCGGAGCGCCGCCUCCCCCUGGUGGCGGAACCGGAGGAGCCGGCGUCGGAGGUGGAGAUCGAGGAGGCCGGCGGCGAGGUGGACGCGCGCGCUGACGAGUUCAUCAACAGGUUCCACCACCAGCUGAAGAUGCAGCACAUGGACUCAUUCAUGCGCUCCCAGAAGAGGCUCCACCGCCGCCGGGCGACCGUGGUGCCAGAGGCGCGCUAG